Long non-coding RNA from Leopardus geoffroyi (Geoffroy's cat), 662 nucleotides. RefSeq lists it as uncharacterized. The record is from RefSeq and is a predicted model, not a curated record. NCBI's taxonomy places the organism in Eukaryota, Metazoa, Chordata, Mammalia, Carnivora, Felidae. The transcript is spliced from 3 exons.
AUUUCAUCCUCCAAAAGGUUACUGACUAUGCAGAACUUCAUUCCAUUUUCCCUCCUAAUUAUAAUAAUGACUGAACAUUAUUUUUAAAUAAUUUACUUGAAUGUCUGCAGAAACUGCUAGACUUAUACAGCUUCAGGAGUGAAGCCAGAUAACUGAAACAGAGAAGUUCUAUGGAAGACAGAAGAACCCUGUCUAUGGAAGACAGAAAAACAGUGGAAGGUGAAAUGUGUAGGCUUGGCUUGACAUAACCAAUCUGGAUCAUGUCUACAAAGGAAACAAACUGCAUACAUUUUUGCUGCAAAAGAUAACAAACCCCACAAAUUUUCAGUAGUGGAUAUCUAAGAAAUGAACCUCACUGGACAAAAAUUAUAAGAACUAUGAAAGUCUGAGUUUCUGAAAUUGAAGAAGAGUUCCAGCUAGACCUUCCUAUUGUAAUCUGCAGUAAGAAGCACCCUCAUGGACAAUGAUGAUAAGAAUAUGGGGAGAAAAGCAUUUGAUGGAUGAGUGUGAUAAAUUUAGAGUUUAUUUUUUUCUUUGACAAAUUUUGUUAUUGCUGUUACAAUUUUGAUACAAUGGAUAAAAAUCAAGAUACUGAAAGGAUAUGCUUAACAAGGGUCAGAAGCUAGUAUUUCCAGUAUAAAAUUAUGUUGACAGUUAAACUA